This is a non-coding RNA of Punica granatum (pomegranate), 637 nucleotides long. NCBI's taxonomy places the organism in Eukaryota, Viridiplantae, Streptophyta, Magnoliopsida, Myrtales, Lythraceae. The record is from RefSeq and is a predicted model, not a curated record.
GUUCUGUUUCUGGACUGAAAAGGAUGAAGCAAGCAAGAAAAAAAAAAAAACAGAGCAAGAGAGAGAGAGAGAGAGCUAUGUUGCAUAGCUAGAGCAGAAUCGAGGGGAAACGGGAGGAAACCGAUGCCAUCCGUUUCUGUUUCGCUCCUCAGACUCCCUUCUUCAAGCGAAGUUCGGGAAGUUCUCUCGUCCCUCCAUUGAUGGGGUGAAGGCUAAAAUCAUUAAAUGGUGAUUUUAGAAGAUGUAGAGGAAGAUAAUGAGGCAACAGAGGAGAUCAAAAAUCAUGCACCAGAAGGCUUUGACUCAUUAAAAUACUUUUGGCGAGUUUUCGAUAAGCUUCCGAUUGCGCGGAGGAACCACUUUUUGAUAUCGGGGAUCAGCUUGAAGAACUAAAUAGGAACCUUAGUUAUUUGAUAGAUAUCAUUUUUGUAUAGAAUGGACUUGAGAAUGUUACGACCUGAAACUUUUGUCUAGUUGGUUUAGCAAUGUAGCUUUGCUAGAAUCGUGCUUAUAUAAAUAUAUAUGUGAGAGCAUUUGUAGUAGUUGUAUGUUUUUUUGAGUUAUGGAAAACAUGUUUUAUAUGAAUAGUUUAUGUGAGAAUGAAUAUCGAGGAAAUAUAUAGGAAAUUUAGUUGAAA